RNAcentral lists this ribosomal RNA (207 nucleotides) under uncultured bacterium. RNAcentral's name for it is "partial 16S ribosomal RNA". It matches the Rfam family "Bacterial small subunit ribosomal RNA", at positions 568 to 774 of the family's 1533-position model. The record is from RNAcentral.
UGCGUAGGUGGCGAGGUAAGUUUGAUGUGAAAUCUCCGGGCUUAACCCGGAAACUGCAUUGAAUACUAUUUUGCUGGAGGGUUGGAGGGGGGACUGGAAUACUUGGUGUAGCAGUGAAAUGCGUAGAUAUCAAGUGGAACACCAGUGGCGAAGGCGAGUCCCUAGACAACUCCUGACACUGAGGCACGAAAGCUAGGGGAGCAAACA